This 470-nucleotide ribosomal RNA is filed under the name uncultured bacterium. RNAcentral's name for it is "bacterial SSU rRNA". It matches the Rfam family "Bacterial small subunit ribosomal RNA", at positions 519 to 990 of the family's 1533-position model. The record is from RNAcentral.
GGUAAUACGUAUGUCGCAAGCGUUAUCCGGAAUUAUUGGGCAUAAAGGGCAUCUAGGCGGCCAGACAAGUCUGGGGUGAAAACUUGCGGCUCAACCGCAAGCCUGCCCUGGAAACUGUUUGGCUAGAGUGCUGGAGAGGUGGACGGAACUGCACGAGUAGAGGUGAAAUUCGUAGAUAUGUGCAGGAAUGCCGAUGAUGAAGAUAGUUCACUGGACGGUAACUGACGCUGAAGUGCGAAAGCUGGGGGAGCGAACAGGAUUAGAUACCCUGGUAGUCCCAGCCGUAAACGAUGAUUACUGGGUGUGGGCAUGAAGAGUGUCCGUGCCGAAGCUAAUGCGAUAAGUAAUCCGCCUGGGGAGUACGGCCGCAAGGCUGAAACUCAAAGGAAUUGACGGGGACCCGCACAAGCGGUGGAGCAUGUGGUUUAAUUCGACGCAACGCGAGGAACCUUACCAGAUCUUGACAUCCC